UACGGAGGGUGCAAGCGUUAAUCGGAAUUACUGGGCGUAAAGCGUGCGCAGGCGGGUUGUUAAGUCCGCUGUGAAAUCCCCGAGCUCAACUUGGGAAUUGCAGUGGAUACUGGCAAGCUGGAGUAUGGUAGAGGAAGGUGGAAUUCCCGGUGUAGCAGUGAAAUGCGUAGAGAUCGGGAGGAACACCAGUGGCGAAGGCGGCCUUCUGGGCAGUUGCUGACACUGAGGCGCGACAGCGUGGGGAGCAAACAGG
Molecule: ribosomal RNA, 253 nt
Filed under: uncultured bacterium
Lineage: Bacteria
Description: partial 16S ribosomal RNA
Rfam family: Bacterial small subunit ribosomal RNA
Source: RNAcentral